ACCCGCUGAACUUAAGCAUAUCAAUAAGCGGAGGAAAAGAAACCAACAGGGAUUGCCUCAGUAACGGCGAGUGAAGCGGCAACAGCUCAAAUUUGAAAUCUGGGACUUUCAGUCUCCGAGUUGUAAUUUGAAGAGGAUGUUUCGGUUGGGACCUGGGCCUAAGUUCCUUGGAACAGGACGUCGUAGAGGGUGAGAAUCCCGUACACGGCUACCGGUCUCCUUCCAUGUGUAACUCCCUCGAAGAGUCGAGUUGUUUGGGAAUGCAGCUCAAAAUGGGUGGUAAAUUUCAUCUAAAGCUAAAUAUUGGCGAGAGACCGAUAGCGCACAAGUAGAGUGAUCGAAAGAUGAAAAGCACUUUGAAAAGAGAGUUAAACAGUACGUGAAAUUGUUGAAAGGGAAGCGCUUGCAAUCAGACUUGCCUUCAGUUGAUCAACGUUCCUUUUGGUUCGUGCACUCUGCUGUUUGCAGGCCAGCAUCAGUUGGUGCGGUGGGACAAAGGUAGCGGGAAUGUGGCUCACUUCGGUGAGUGUUAUAGCCCGUUGCGUAAUGCCACAGCGCCGAUUGAGGUCCGCGGUUCGUCCUAGAUGCUGGCUUAAUGGUUUAAGCGACCCGUCUUGAAACACGG
RNAcentral lists this ribosomal RNA (625 nucleotides) under Orbilia sp. HMAS 139539. Its description in RNAcentral is "eukaryotic LSU rRNA". It matches the Rfam family "Eukaryotic large subunit ribosomal RNA", at positions 23 to 664 of the family's 3401-position model. Lineage: Eukaryota; Fungi; Ascomycota; Orbiliomycetes; Orbiliales; Orbiliaceae. The record is from RNAcentral.